RNAcentral lists this ribosomal RNA (1978 nucleotides) under sediment metagenome. RNAcentral's name for it is "bacterial LSU rRNA". It matches the Rfam family "Bacterial large subunit ribosomal RNA", at positions 842 to 2925 of the family's 2925-position model. The record is from RNAcentral.
GUAAUAGCUGGUUCUCCCCGAAAUAGCUUUUGGGCUAGCCUUUGCAUAUAAUCUUUUGGAGGUAGAGCACUGAAUGGGAUUUCUUGAGCUUCGCUCGGAUCUCCCAAUCAAACUCCGAAUGCCAGAAGAUGUUUGCAGGGAGUUAGACUGUGGGGGCUAAGCUCCAUGGUCAAAAGGGAAGCAGCCCAGAUCUUAAUCUAAGGUCCCUAAACUAAGUUAAGUGUACUUAAGGAGGUGGAAUUCCUCUGAUAGCUAGGAGGUUAGCUCAGAAGCAGCUACCCUUUAAAAAGUGCGUAACAGCUUACUAGCUAAGGAAUUCCGCGCCGAAGAUUCACGGGACUAAAACUUAGUACCGAAGAUAAGGCAUCCGCCGAAAGGCGGAAUGGGUAGGGGAGCGCCCCGCUUGCUGCGAAGUCGGUUUGUAAAGACCGGUGGAGCGGGCGGGGGUGAGAAUGUUGGUAUGAGUAACCACAAGUCCGCUGAGAACGCGGACCACCGAAAACCCAAGGUUUCCUUGGCAAUGACAAUCAGCCAAGGGUUAGGCGGCCCUAAUCCGUCCACCGAAAGGUGUACGUGAAAUGGACAGCCGGUUAAUAUUCCGGCCCUUCCGCUUAUUCCAAUCAGUGACGCAGUUGCGCGGUUUCGGAGAGAUUAUUGGAUUUCUUUUCCGGACCAAACGAUUGCCCAGAAAAACUGAAAGGUUAUGUAAGCGGAAUCCGUACUGUAAACCGACACAGGUGGGUUGGCGUAAGUGCGCCAAGGUGAACGAGUGAAAGCUCCUAAAGGAACUCGGCAAAUUAGCAGGCGUAACUUCGGAAUAUGCCUUGCCCUGAGAGAAAUCGAAGGGCCACAGCUAAAGAGCCCCUAGCGACUGUUUAUCAAAAACACAGGUCUCUGCUAAACUCGUAAGAGGAUGUAUAGAGGCUGAAGCCUGACCAGUGCUGGAACGUUAACAGUUCCGGUCGUUGCCGCAAGGUAACGGCUGAGGACUCGAAGCGCCAGUAAACGUCGGCGGUAACUAUAACCGUCCAAAGGUAGCGUAAUCCCUUGCCAGGUAAGUUCUGGCCCGCUUGAAAGGCCUAACGACUGGGGGACUGUCUCUAGGAGUUGCUCGGUGAAAAUACAAUACCGGUGAAGACGCCGGUUACCUGCGGCUAGACGGAAAGACCCCGAGAGCUUUACUGUAGUUAGGUAUUGGGUUUUGGUUUUUGAUGCGUAGCGUAGGUGGCAGGCUUUGAAAGUCGCCUUUCGGGGCGACUGGAGCCGACAAUGAAACACCACUCUUUAAAAACCAUAAUUCUAACUUUGCUUAUGCAAAAGACAGUGCCUAAUGGGCAGUUUAAGUGGGGCACUUUUCUCCUAAAGAGUAAUGGAGAAGUUUAAAGGUCAGCUAGCUCCGGAUGGAAACCGGAGUGGUCGUGUAAAGGCACAAGCUGGCUUUACUGCAAGGCGGGUGUGCCGCGCAGUUGGGAAACCAGAACUUAGUGAACCGAUGGAUUUUAAUAGAAAAUCCAGAGAUCAUCAGACAAAAGUUACCUCGGGGAUAACAGGCUAGUAGAGCCCGCGAGUCCAUAUCAACGGCUCUGUUCGGCACCUCGAUGUCGGCUCAGCGCAUCCUGGGGGUGGAGCAGCUCCCAAGGGUUUGGCUGUUCGCCAAUUAAAGCGUUACGUGAGCUGGGUUCAAACCGUCGCGAGACAGGUUGGUCCCUAUCUACCGCAGGCGUAGAAUCUUGAGGGGAUUUGACUACAGUACGAGAGGACCUAGUUGAACUGACCUCUGGCAUACCAGCUGUUCUGCCAAGAGCACUGCUGGGUAACUAAGUCAGGAAGGGAUAAGCGCUGAAAGCAUCUAAGCGCGAAACCCACCCUAAGAUUAGGAUUCAUAGAUUGGUUGGAGAUGACGACCUUGAUAGGCUGCAGGUGGAAGCCCAGUAAUGGGUUAAGCCAAGCAGUACUAACAAAUCAUCAAUUAUUUUAU